UGUCUCUAGUGAUGUCGUUGCACUGGGCUCAGAAAAGCGAUGAUGACGAUGUGCAGCUCUGCUCUGACAGGCAGAGUCUGAAGAGACG
RNAcentral lists this small nucleolar RNA (88 nucleotides) under Gouania willdenowi (blunt-snouted clingfish). Lineage: Eukaryota; Metazoa; Chordata; Actinopteri; Blenniiformes; Gobiesocidae. The record is from RNAcentral.